AAAUGGCGUUACGGGUAUCCAAUUUUAUAAAUGUUGGAUUGAGAAGGCUUUGCCCUACCGUUAGAACUUGAACUAGGUCAUACUAGCGUAAGGAAAUGCCAUUAAAAGUUA
RNAcentral lists this non-coding RNA (111 nucleotides) under Pneumocystis murina. RNAcentral's name for it is "TPP sequence". It matches the Rfam family "TPP riboswitch aptamer (THI element)". Rfam says of the family: Vitamin B(1) in its active form thiamin pyrophosphate (TPP) is an essential coenzyme that is synthesised by coupling of pyrimidine and thiazole moieties in bacteria. RNAcentral also lists the same sequence under 1 other name. Lineage: Eukaryota; Fungi; Ascomycota; Pneumocystomycetes; Pneumocystales; Pneumocystaceae. The record is from RNAcentral.